This 234-nucleotide long non-coding RNA is filed under the name Lathyrus oleraceus (garden pea). Its description in RNAcentral is "Pisum sativum (pea) long non-coding RNA (PSAT_LNC025777)". The record is from RNAcentral. Lineage: Eukaryota; Viridiplantae; Streptophyta; Magnoliopsida; Fabales; Fabaceae.
CUCCUGUGAGAAGAGGAAUGCUGAAACAUCCUUUAAAUAGGCCAGACCAUGCUUAGGAAUUAACGGUAGGAGUAAAUGCUUGGUCAAGAUUCAUAAAUAUUUGCUGAGAAUCAGUCAGAGAAUCACCACCAAUAUCCCAGACAAUAAUUAACGGUAGGAGUAAAUGCUUGGUCAAGAUUCAUAAAUAUUUGCUGAGAAUCAGUCAGAGAAUCACCACCAAUAUCCCAGACAAUC